GAUCCUCCUACUUUGGCCUUAACUUCAGGUGUUGCCUUCCUGGUGUCUGGGCUUCCGCAGCUGCUGCUUCUUGAAGUCUGAUUAGCACCAUAGGACUGACAGUGGCAUAGGCAUUGACCACAAACUUGUGGACACUGUCGAUGACAGGGCUGAAUACCCAUAACAGCAUUUUGGAGGAUGAGACAAUUAAGUCCAAUGAGUACAUAACCACGAAGAAACUCACCAGCAGCAAGAUGGUCUUGGUGGCCCUUUUCUCUGGGGAGGUUCUUAAUAAAAAGCUAGUGCUGUGAAGGUGCUGGGAGCACCUCUGAUGCCUGGACAAGAGAAUCACCAUGAAGGCACUUGAGAGCGGCAUGAUUCCUACAAGGAAGACAUCUCUGGAUAACGACAGAGUAACAAACAGCCUUCUGAUGGUGACAUUCAUUGGGGAAAGUGAGCAGUAUUUACU
This 448-nucleotide long non-coding RNA is filed under the name Homo sapiens (human). RNAcentral describes it as "long non-coding RNA NONHSAT212173.1". The record is from RNAcentral. Lineage: Eukaryota; Metazoa; Chordata; Mammalia; Primates; Hominidae.